UAUGUUUAUAUUUUUUUCCUGUGUAUAUAUGACUCAGCUGUAAUCUUGUAUCCCACAGAGGGACCAAGGCAUAUGCCUAUGAGGAAAAAGCCACAAAAGAGGCAAAGCAGAAAUAUUGGUUGACUGGGAGCCCUGUCCAAUAUGUGGCAAGGAGUGGGCCCAUUCCUGGCAGCCAAAUGAUUCUCUUCAAAUUAAUGAGAAGAAAUAAAAUGUAGAAUCUGAACUACAUUUUGGUUUCUGCCGGUU
RNAcentral lists this long non-coding RNA (246 nucleotides) under Sinocyclocheilus grahami. RNAcentral's name for it is "lncRNA (ENSSGRG00000022525.1)". The record is from RNAcentral. Lineage: Eukaryota; Metazoa; Chordata; Actinopteri; Cypriniformes; Cyprinidae.